RNA transcript from Sapajus apella (tufted capuchin), 3952 nucleotides. It is a transcript of the gene named 60S ribosomal protein L3 pseudogene, with no coding region annotated. The transcript has a single exon. Lineage: Eukaryota; Metazoa; Chordata; Mammalia; Primates; Cebidae. The record is from RefSeq and is a predicted model, not a curated record.
CCUUAGCUGACAGUCUUAUCUGUGCCUGUGCCUGUUCACGUUUGACAGAUUUUUCAUCUUAAAGUCCAAAGGGUUAGGAUUUCAUCCUCUACACUCUGUUUUUCUUUAAAGUUUCUGCCUGUCAUUCUCUAGAUUCUCAGAUGUUUUAGCACUCUCUCAUUUUUAAGAAUUAACUUUAUUUCAAGCAGUUUUUUAAAAACUGCUUUUAUCAUUUAAAUGAUAAAAAAACUUUUUUAUCAUUUACUAUGUUGAGAAUUACUGUAACUAGCCUGUACAUUCAAUUCCAUUUAACAGAUUUUUAUUGCAGAUUUACCAUGCAUGAGCUUCUAUUCUUAGACACUGUUGGGAGUAGGAUAUGUAAAAUACAGUCAUGACCUCAGAGACAUCAUGCUAUAGAAGUGAAGUAAGAUGAGAUCAUAAACAACCAUCAUUCAAAAUAGGGAAAGAUGAGUGGUGUAGCAGAGCCAAGGACCGGGGAGGGGGGGCACAUCUGAACAGGGGAAAUGGCAUGUAAGACAGAUCUCCACAGAUGGGUAGGACUUGGUGAGUGGUGAAUUGGAGCAUUGUUGGAAGAGUUUUGAAUGCCAAGGUAAAGAGUUUACUUAUAAUUCGGGAAGCAACACGGACGUGCUGAAGGCCGCUAAGCUGAAAAGUGACAUAAUUCUAUCCAUGCUUUAAGCUAAUUAAUCUGGUAGCAUUAGGAAGGAUGGGUUAGGUAGAGAAAAGAAAUUUGGAGAGAGCGGUUGGGAGAGUUUUAUAGUAGAGAUGAGAAAUACUGAUGGCUUAAACUAAUUGGAAACUAAACAAACUAGUUGGCACUGUUGGAAAUAGAAAAGAAGGGGCAAGUAUAAGAACCGUUUCAGAGGUAGACUGUAUGAAGUUAGCAGUGGUUUGGAGAGGCAGCUCAGAGUGGUGGUUAGAAGCAGGGACUCUGGAGCAAAUCCCAAAUUCUGCCACUUCCUGCUGUGUGACAUUUUAAGUUUCUUAAGGUCUUUUUGUGCCUUGGUUUCCCAGGUGUGUAAUGGAAAUAAUAAUAGGAUGCUGUGAAAAUUAAAUUAGUUAAUAUUUGUGAAAUACUAUAUGCCUGGCACAUAGUAAGUGCUGUGUAAAUGCUUGUUAGAUAAAGAAAUAAAUAAAUGUUGGGGAGGAAGGGACAACAUAAUUUAGAGAUGACUGUUUUUGAGCCUGGGCCUGAGAAUAUAGGGGUGGCAUUAACUCAGUUGCAUAGGAGGAAGAUGUGGAUCUUGAUCCAAGGAGAGAGGCUGGGGCUAGAGAUUUGGGAAUUAUCCAUGUAGAGGUUGAGAAGAAUGGUUGGUUAGUAUGCUCUAUUGACAUUCCUAUCCACUUCUAUGAGUAACUGACUUUGUUCAAAGUAAAAAUAAGGGCAGAAGACUUUUACUUUUAUAUUUCUUUGGCAGUUUUACAAGAUUUACAGGAGUAUAAUAAAAUUUUGCAUCUACAGAGUAUGUUUUUAAAAAGGAAAUUAAAUCUUAAUUUUAGUAGGUAAAUGGUAUAUUUUGUUAUACAUGCUUUAUAUAUAAAAUGUGAGUAUUGAUACAGAUAUGAGUAAAAUAAUUUACGAAUAUAGUUCCGGACACUUGAGUUAGAGUAUCUUUGAACACUUGGAAAUCUUCAAAGUUGAGUGGUAUUGCUUUCAAGACAGAGAAAGGAGAGAAAAUGAAAAACAUGUAAGAUGCCAUGGAACCCUUUCCUUCUUGCAAAUACCACUAGACAAAAGGAUAGGAAGCUGGAAAGCCCCCAGGGCCAGCAGGCUUUCCCUGCCAAGUCUAUUCUUCUUGAACAUUACACAAGUGAGGGAGUGGUGAGGGGUUACAUAAACAGCUGUUCCUGAGCACGUGCAUAUGUUAUUGUACACGAUAUCCUUUCAUGUCUAGACUAUGAGCAAAUUCCCUAGGAUAUCUCAAAUUUUAUUUAAUUUGGCUUAGAUUUCAGAUACAUAACAUGGCUCUUAUGUUCAAUAACUUUUUAAAUUACUAAGCACUGUUUGAUAACUUUUUAAAUUACCAAGCACUCUGUGUCCUUUUUACUUGAUGCAUUGACCCAAGUCUCAAUGGAAGCUACUUAGUGUAACUGAAAAUGCAUCUACUUCAAAUGGAGUCUUCGGUGCUCAGUCACAUGCUUGCCUGAGAACCUUUUGCAUGCCGAGCAACAGGCUCCCUCCCCUCAGAGAUUUCACAUUUUGAGUUUUAGUGUUGAACUUGUUAAAAAAUGGAUUUCGGUUUUUAUGGAUAUUAAUGUGCCUAAAGUAAAGCCUUCUCACUUUAAUUCUUCUGAUGUUCUAAUUUUUUUUAAAGAAGUGGCAAAUCACUUGUUUCUUGAUAUAGUAGCAAGAAAUUGAAAAAAUAACAUGAUUCAGUUAAUACAAAGUUAACAUGAGCCGUGGAAUCAUGCAGACCUCGGGUUCCACACCAAGCUGAAUGAGUUCGGGCAAGUCAGCAUCUUUGACCUCCUGUGCCUGUAAAUACAAAGUGGGAACAGCAAUACGUACUUUGUUAGAUGGCUACCAAGAUAAAAUUAGUUAACCUGUACCAGGAGUUCAGUUAGGCAAAUAGAGCACUUAUGUGCCAGGCACAGUCCUAGCCACUGUGGCUUCAGAAGUAAACAGGAAACAGUCCCUCCUCUUAAGAAGUUCAUAGUCUAGAUCUCUAACGGGUGGAUUUGACAGCAUGAUGUCUCACAGGAAGUUCUCUGCUCCCAGACAUGGGUCCCUCAGCUUCCUGCCUCGGAAGCACAGCAGCAGGCAUCGUGGGAAGGUGAAGAGCUUCCCCAAGGAUGACCCUUCCAAGUCGGUCCACCUCACAGCCUUCCUGGGAUACAAGGCUGGCAUGACCCAUAUCGUGCAGGAGGUCAAUAGGCCAGGAUCCAAGGUGAACAAAAGGAGGUGGUGGAGGCUGUGACCAUUGUGGAGAUGCCACCCGUGGUGGUUGUGGGCAUUGUGGGCUACAUGGAAACCCCUCGAGGCCUCCGGACCUUCAAGACUGUCAUCGCCGAGCACAUCAGCAAUGAGUGCAAAAGGUAUUUCUAUAAGAACUGGCAUAAAUCUAAGAAGAAGUCCUUCACUAAGUACUGCAAGAAAUGGCAGGAUGAGGAUGGCAAGAAGCAGCUGGAGAAGGACUUAAGCAGCGUGAAGAAAUACUGCCAAGUCAUCUGCAUCAUUGCCCACACCCAGAUGCACCUGCUUCCUCUGUGCCAGAAAAAGGCCCACCUGAUGGAGAUCCAGGUGAAUGGAGGCACCGUGUCCGAGAAGCUGGACUGGGCCCGUGAGAGGCUGGAGCAGCAGGUACCUAUGAACCAAGUGUUUGGGCAGGACAAGAUGAUUGACGUCAUCGGGGUGACCAAGGGCAAAGGCUACAAAGGGGUCACCAGUCAUUGGCACACCAAGAAGCUGCACCACAAGACCCACCGAGGCCUGCGCAAGGUGGCCUGUAUUGGGGCAUGACAUCCUGUCCGUGUGGCCUUCUCUGUAGCAUGUGCUUGGCAGAAAGGCUACCAUCACCGCACUGAAAUCAACAAGAUCUAUAAGAUCGGCCAGGGCUACCUUACCAAGGACGGCAAGCUGAUCAAGAACAAUGCCUCCACCAACUAUGACCUGUCUGACAAGAGCAUCAACCCUCUGGGGGGCUUUGUCCACUAUGGUGAAGUAACCAAUGACUUUGUUAUGCUGAAAGGCUGUGUGGUGGGAACCAAGAAGCAAGUGCUUACCUUCCACAAGUCCUUCCUGGUGCAGACCAAGCGGCGGGCUCUGGAGAAGAUUGACCUUAAGUUCAUUGACAGCAGCUCCAAGUUUGGCUAUGACCGCUUCCAGACCAUGGAGGAGAAGAAAGCAUUCACGGGACCACUCAAGAAAGACCGAAUUGCAAAGGAAGAAGGAGCUUAAUGCCAGGAACAGAUUUUGCAGCUGGUGGGGUCUCAAUAAAAGUUUUUUCCAUUG